GUUCAUUCCACCCGUCGCCUACUAUAACGGGAUGGCGGUCUAUCCGCUGGUCUUUCAACCUGCUAUUAACUCGUCGUUGAUGAUUUGUUUAUCACCUGUGAUGUUUUGUUUGUUACUUGUUACCUUGAUUCACCGAUAUGUCAGCAGUCACUAAAUGCGACACUCAUUGCACUUUUUAGACAUAUAUCAAUGCAAGUUAUAGAAAAC
This 207-nucleotide small RNA is filed under the name Cryptococcus neoformans H99. RNAcentral's name for it is "Cryptococcus neoformans var. grubii H99 hypothetical RNA". Lineage: Eukaryota; Fungi; Basidiomycota; Tremellomycetes; Tremellales; Cryptococcaceae. The record is from RNAcentral.